GCGUUUAGAGGAUCAGUGGCGGCGGGCCCGCGCGGUGCCGGCGACUAGCAGUGAGAUGUCCUGGCCUCUUCCAGGUUUGGAGAUGGGAUGGUGGACCAAUCUCUGGACCUCAGCAGUGUGAGGAUGACAAUGGUAUUCUGUGGUGCUGUUCCCACUCAGGUUGGCUGCUAUCCCUGCUGAUGGAGAGAGGCUGGAGGCUGUCAGAGAAGAUAGUGCCGAUGCAGAGGCCUCCCAGUGAAGUGUGAAGGAAUGGGCCUUAACUAGGGUUGAAGAAAGAAAGUGAAGCCGCCCAAGGAAAGGUGGGGACAGUUGGGACUUUUGGUUACACUCUUCUGGUAUACUUCUCAUGUAUCAUAUGCUAUAAUCUCUCAAUUUCACAUUUAUUGUAGUAAUCUGCAGUGUGUAUGCCCUGGCCAAAUGCUGCUUGGCUAAAAAAGUGUUAAAUAAAACUGUAAGAAACGCUA
Grammomys surdaster is the source of this 464-nucleotide long non-coding RNA. RefSeq lists it as uncharacterized. The transcript has 4 exons. The record is from RefSeq and is a predicted model, not a curated record. Lineage: Eukaryota; Metazoa; Chordata; Mammalia; Rodentia; Muridae.